This is a non-coding RNA of Caenorhabditis elegans, 144 nucleotides long. The record is from Ensembl. Lineage: Eukaryota; Metazoa; Nematoda; Chromadorea; Rhabditida; Rhabditidae.
CAAAAGCUUCGUCUGCUUUCGUUUUUUUUUCUCGUUUUCUUCCAACUUCUUGCAAAAACCUUACUUUUGUGUUCGAUUCCCAUGAGGAGAAGCGAGAAAAGACAAAAAAAAACGGAGGGAGAGUGAAUUAUAGCAAGAAACAGA